AGUGAACGCUGGCGGUAGGCCUAACACAUGCCAGUCGAACGGCAGCACAGUAAGAGCUUGCUCUUACGGGUGGCGAGUGGCGGACGGGUGAGGAAUACAUCGGAAUCUACUUUUUCGUGGGGGAUAACGUAGGGAAACUUACGCUAAUACCGCAUACGACCUACGGGUGAAAGCAGGGGAUCUUCGGACCUUGCGCGAUUGAAUGAGCCGAUGUCGGAUUAGCUAGUUGGCGGGGUAAAGGCCCACCAAGGCGACGAUCCGUAGCUGGUCUGAGAGGAUGAUCAGCCACACUGGAACUGAGACACGGUCCAGACUCCUACGGGAGGCAGCAGUGGGGAAUAUGGACAAUGGGCGCAAGCCUGAUCCAGCCAUACCGCGUGGGUGAAGAAGGCCUUCGGGUUGUAAAGCCCUUUUGUUGGGAAAGAAAAGCAGCAGGUUAAUACCCCGCUGUUCUGACGGUACCCAAAGAAUAAGCACCGGCUAACUUCGUG
This 491-nucleotide ribosomal RNA is filed under the name uncultured bacterium. RNAcentral describes it as "partial 16S ribosomal RNA". It matches the Rfam family "Bacterial small subunit ribosomal RNA", at positions 29 to 507 of the family's 1533-position model. The record is from RNAcentral.